GGUGACGUCAGAUAGAAAAUGAAAAGCAAAAAUCCGUUUUCAUAAUUUUUCCUUUGCUGGAACCCAGAUGUAAGGCCCAGAUUGUUCCUCUAUGAUCUGUUUCACUUGGUUGUAGAUUUCUUCCAGUGUGUCUCCUUGGAUAAUAGCUGUGAAGUGUUCAGUAAACUCUUGCUCCAGUUUCAUUGCUCUCUCAAAUGUCUUCCUGGCUUGUUCUUCCGUUAAGCGUUUAUUCAUUUCCAUGAUAUUUUCCACUGUUUUGGGUUUAAUAAAAAUGGAGAUUGGGUACAGCUGGGCAAUCUGCAACCUUUUGAUCGCAUUACCAGAAACAUCAAGAAUACAAUGUUUACCCUUUUCUGCUACUUCUCGCACUGAUUGCACACUUGUUCCAUAAAGAUGAUUAUUGUACUGGCCAGCUUCAAUGAAUUUGUGCUCCUGAAUAUCCUUCUCCAUUUGCUCUCGAGAAGUGACAAAAUGGUAAUCACGUCCAUCCACCUCAUAAUCUCGUUUUGGUCUAGUAGUAUGUGGAACACAUGAGCCAAAUUUGUCUGGAAAUUCUGAAAUCAGAUCGUCGUUAAUUCUGUCUUUCAUGGGUCCCAAAACAAUCACAGGUCGAGUAUAGUUCACUUCUUGUUGAUUGACUUGUUCGUAAGACAAGACAUAUUCCUCUUGGCCACGGUAACUACUUUCACUAUCGCUGGCAUUAGAGGUUACAUGCUUCAGGCCUUUUGAUCCCAUGUCGUCAGGGACCUCCCCUUUCUCUCCUCUUGUCUUGGAAUUGAAUUUCACUGUCUUUAAACGGGCUCGUUCUUUUUUCUCAACUCUGCGUUUGCUUGGGAUAACUCCGAUUUCAUCACUUUCUCCAUCUGGAGUUACCUGCCGUGCUUGCCACCAUUCAUCAUCAGAAGCAUUAAUGACAUGGAGAAUAUCACCAAAUUUGAAGUUCAGUCCUUGACUUGGAAGGCCACUGUCUUUAGUCUUGUCAUAAUCAAAAAGGGCUCUGACAUAUAGGGAUCUCUUCUGGCUGGUUCGCAAAGAUCCUGAUCCUGAGCUAAUGCUACUGUUCAUCAUCUGCUCCCG
This 1077-nucleotide long non-coding RNA is filed under the name Gallus gallus (chicken). The record is from RNAcentral. Lineage: Eukaryota; Metazoa; Chordata; Aves; Galliformes; Phasianidae.